RNAcentral lists this long non-coding RNA (4625 nucleotides) under Olea europaea subsp. europaea. Lineage: Eukaryota; Viridiplantae; Streptophyta; Magnoliopsida; Lamiales; Oleaceae. The record is from RNAcentral.
UACAUCUGCAGAAAUCGGAUCUGCAUUUGUUAAAUACUAGAGUACACAGUAUUUGGUGAGAUCUUUUACAAUUAAACUACAGUAGUCAAUUUGCAUGAUAUAAAUGAUAUAUGUGAACUCAAUGAUGCUAUUGUGAUUUGAUUAUUCAAAGAAAUUGAAUAAAGUGUUUAAUUGUGAUAGAAGCACGUUUUAGGAAAUUUCAUUUUUCUGUAAUCUGAUUGAUUGAUACCAAUAUUUUGGAAAUCUGAAAUUGAUCCUUUCAUGUUAUUGUGUUUUAGUCAGUGCAUAUUAUACAACUGUUUGUUUGUCAUUUCUGGUCAACUUACUUGUUAGUUGUUAAUUAUCUGCAAAACUUAUUUUUCAAAACUUUUUCUGUAACUUAAGUGAUUUCUUGAAUUAAAUCACUUAUGUCCUCAAGUAAUAACCCUUUUAUAGAACCCGCAAUGGGUUCGAAGGUCAAAUUGAGUCAAUUCGAUGGAAAGGGUGACUACUCUAUAUGGAAACAAAAAAUGAGGGCCAUUUUGGUCUGGUAGAGGGUUGCAAAAGCCCUCGACGAUCCCGAAAAGUUUCCUGAUGAAUUGAAAGCUAAGCCUACUAAAAUUGAAGAUAUAAAUGAAAUAGCAUAUAGUUCAAUCAUAUUACAUUUGUCUGAUAACAUAGUAAGACAAGUUGAAGAACAUAAAACUGCUCGAGCCCUGUGGGAAGCACUAGAUGCUUUGUUCUUAACUAAAACACUACCUAAUAAGAUCUACCCGUUGGAGAAAUUGUUUAACUUCGAAAUGGAUCCUGGAAAAGAUGUAGAAUCUAAUCUUAGUGACUUUAGCAUUCUUGUCAAGAGUCUUUCCCACAACGAUAAGAAAUUCGAGGAUGAAGAUCUGGCUGUGAUUUUUCUAAAUUUACUAGCUAAAUCUUAUAAAGAUAUCCAAAAUGCUAUAAAAUAUUCAAGAGAUGCUUUAACACAAACGAUUGUAACAAAUGCCCUAAAAUUUAGGGAGUUGGAGGUUAAAAUGGAAUCGAGAACUAAUUCCAGAUAGGAGAACCUAUUUGUAAGAGAGAGAAUUGAAAAAAGAGACAACCAUUCAUUGAAUAAGAAGUUCAAAUCAAAAUCCAAAGCUAGGUCCAAGUUAAAAGAUAAAAGCAACAAAAAAUGUUUAUCACUAUGGAAAACUUGGACACUUCAAAAGGGACUGCUUUGAAUUAAAGAAUAAGUUAAAAGAACCUAAUAACAGUGAGUUGAAUAAUGCCGCUGUAAGUCCAGAACUUGACAGCCUUCUUGUUAUGACUAUGUCUAACAAUGAAACACACACGGACUGGAUACUUUACUUUGGAUGUACCUUUCACAUGUGCCCAAAUAAAACUUGGUUUCAUAACUACAAAGAGAUAGAACCUAGGAAAUUAUAUAUGUGUGAUAAUAAUUCACAAAAUGUUCUUGGAAUUGGUGACAUUACAAUCAAAAUAUACAAUGGUAUUGUUAGGCAGAUUAAAAAUGUAAGACAUGUUCCAAAUCGAAAAAUGAAUCUUAUUUCACUGGGAAUUCUCGAAGAUGAGGGACAUACUUUUAAAUCUAAAAAUAAUACUUUGAAAAUUCUCAAAGGAUCUCUUGUAGUUAUGAAGGGACCAAAAAGAAAUGGUUUGUAUUACUUGAUGGGAGAGAUUGUCAAUUCCCAGGAUUCGAAAUCCUUAACCAUAACUGAAAGUAAAUCUGAAUUGUGGCAUUGUAGGAUGGGACAUAUUGGUAAUAAGGGUUUAAAAUAUCUAAAUGAUCAAAAAUUACUUGGAAAAGAUAAAAUAGAGCCCCCUAACUUUUGUGAGACAUGUGUACUUGGAAAGUCUCAUAGAGUCAGCUUUGAGACGGGGUCACACUACAAAUAGUCUAGUAGACUAUGUCCACUCAGAUUUGUGGGGUCUAGAAAGCCACUCGACUUUUGGUGGGAACAAAUAUUUUCUUUCUAUAAUUGAUGUCUAUUCUAGAAAGGUCUCGACAUAUCCCUUAGAAGUAAAAUCUGAAACAUUUCAAAAAUUCAGAAUGUCGUUAACGAUGAUUGAAAAUCAAUUGGGCAGAAAAUUGAAAACCUUAAGGACAGAUAAUGGGUUGGAAUUCUGUAAUACAGAAUUUGAUAACUUUUGCAAACAAAAGGGAAUAGUCAGACAUAAAACUGUUAAACAUACAUCCCAACAGAAUGGGGUCGCUAAAAGAAUGCACAGAACUCUUAUGAAUAAAGUUAGAUGUAUGCUGAUAAGUUCUGAUUUAGCAAAAGGUUUUUGGGCAGAAGUUUUAUGCACUACAGCCUAUCUGAUAAAUAGGUCACCCUGCAGUUCUGUAGAGUUUAAAAUCCCUCAGGAACUGUGGACUAGAAAGCCACCUAAUCUGUCAAACAUCAGGGUCUUCGGAUGUGCUGCAUAUACACAUCAGGUUGAAGGGAAAUUAGACCCCAGGGCUACCAAAUCUCUGAUUAACAAUAAAACAUAGAAACUUGUUAAGAAACCAAAGAAUCAAAGAGUGGUACAAUGCAAGUAGAUUUAUAAACUCAAAGAAGGCAUUUUCCCCCACUGACCCUUUGAGGUAUAAGGUAAGGCUAGUGGCCAAGGGGUUCAUCCAAAUGAAAGGAAUUGAUUACAAUGAAAAUUUUUCACCUGUGAUCAAAUAUAAAACUAUAAGGCUAAUACUUGCUUUAGUUGUUCAGUUUAAUUGAGAACUUGUACAAUUAGAUGUCAAAACCGCCUUUUUGCAUGGGGAAUUUGAUGAGGACAUUUAUAUGUGUCAACCUCAAGGUUUCGAGGAAAAGGGGAAAUCUAACUAUGUUUGUAAAUUGGAAAAAUCCCUGUAAGGGCUUAAACAAAGUCCAAGAUAGUGGUAUGUCUUGUUUGACACAUACGUUGUAAAAAUUGGUUUUAGGAGAAGUGAGUAUAAUCAUUGCUUAUAUUAUUACAACUCUAAACCUGGCAGCAAGAUAUAUCUACUCUUAUAUGUAGAUGAUAUGCUGCUGGCCAGUUUAAGCAAGGUUGAAAUAAUAAGAAUGAAGAACCUCCUAAAAUCAGAAUUUGAAAUGAAAGACUUAGGGAAUGUCAAGAAAAUACUAGGAAUGGUGAUAACUAGAAAUAGACAAGAAGACAAGUUAACAAUAACUCAAGAAUCUUACCUGCAUAAAGUGAUAUCAAAAUUUGGCUUGAAAGAGACAAAGUCUGUCAAUGUUCCACUUGCCACUCACAUGAAUCUUUCCUCAGCCCAAUGUCCUAAAACUGAAUCUGAAGUUAAAGACAUGAAAAAUAUUCCUUACUCUAAUGCAAUAAGAUCAGUAAUAUUUUCUAUGAUCACAACCAGACCCGAUCUAGCAUAUUCAAUCAGUUUUUUAAGUAGGUUUAUGGCUAACCCUGGGAAACCACAUUAGGGUGGUUUAAAAUGGCUAUUACGGUAUAUAGCUAAGAUACUAAAGGUAGGUUUAGUGUUCAAAAGGGGAUCAGAACCAUUAACCCUUAAGGGAUACAUGGAUUCUGAUUUUGUAGGAGAUAAGGAUCAAAGAAAGUCUACCACUACUUAUUUCUUUACACUUGGUAAUAAUUGUAUCACUUGGAAGUCUCAACUUCAACCCAUUGUCACUUUAUCCAGUACUGAAACUGAAUAUGUGGCUAUUACUGAAUGUGUUAAAGAAUGUAUAUGGCUCAAAGGAAUUUUAGGUAAACUGAAUUUUCUGUUUACUUCCCCCGUUAUACUUACUGAUAGUCAAAGUGCCUUAUUGUUAAGCAAGAACCCUAUCUAUCAUGAAAUGUCUAAGCACAUUGAGGUGAAGUAUCAUUUUAUAAGAGAAAAACUCUCUUCAGGUGAAAUGGUUAUUGGGAAAAUUCAUACUGACAUUAAUCCAUCUGAUAUGAGCACUAAAAUUCUGCCUGUAAGUAAAUUCAGAACUUGUUUGUCACUUCUCAAUAUUGAUACUGGGUAAUUUUCUUUGCAGUUACCUUGGGCAAUGAUGAUGGUCAGUCUUUCCACAAAUGUGCAAUUCAGCAACUGAGAGAGUGAGUGCAAUUUUGAGAACCAAGGUGAAGAUUGAUGGAGAAAACGUGUUUCUCCAAAUUGCAACUUAUGUGAGGGUAAUCUGGACAUUUUUGGCACUUAAAGUUAGUGGAUGUUACGUGGCAGCUUCUAAUUUGUUCCUUCCAUGUUACUUGGAUCUGUGUUUCUUUUGGCUUUGUGUGGACCGUUCGAUUACUUGAAUGGUGGAGAUCAACCAAGAUUAUUAUCUCUUGGCUUCUAGUGUAUUUGGUUGGAAAAAAGAGACUCCUCAUUUACUGUAUUUUGGUCUCUCGCUUUUCUCUCUCUACUUGGAGACUUUUCUUCUUCCUUCUUGAUUUUUCGAAUCUGGAGACUAUUACUCCUUUGUAUGAUUCUUGUAAAUCUCGUGUGCUAUAGUAACUGGUAGGCAGGUUGUAUAGUCGAUCUGUUGUAUUGUGUAUUUGUGGCCGGUUUGUGAGGAAGCAUAUUAUUGUGUCCAGAUUUGAGAUCCGUUUGGAUCGAUGAUUGAUCUGGUUGUUCUCUUUGAUUAUAUGUACUGUACUCUGCACUAGUGGAUUGGGCUGACACUAAGCCCCCCAAAUUAAGCCAUUUGAGCCAAAUUGGGUGAACAUUUUUC